AAAAAUCCGGCAGCUCUUAACUCCGAGGUGUGAUGACGAGGCUCCACGCGAGCCGAAGUGAAUAACGCCCCGCUUCCAGGAAAAGCCUCUAAGCUUCAGAUCACAUUGGACCGUACCGUAAACCGACACUGGUGGGUGAGCAGAUAAUCUGCCAAGGCGCUUGAGAGAACUCGGGUUAAGGAACUCUGCAAAUUGAUACCGUAACUUCGGAAGAAGGUAUGCCUUCGACGGUGUAGGGAUUUACUCCCGAAGCUGUUGAAGGUCGCAGGUAAUCGGUGGCUGCGACUGUUUAUCAAAAACACAGGACUCUGCGAACACGCAAGUGGAAGUAUAGGGUCUGACGCCUGCCCGGUGCCGGAAGGUUAAUUGAUGGGGUUAGCCGCAAGGCGAAGCUCUUGAUCGAAGCCCCGGUAAACGGCGGCCGUAACAAUAACGGUCCUAAGGUAGCGAAAUUCCUUGUCGGGUAAGUUCCGACCUGCACGAAUGGCGUAACGCUGGCCACACUGUCUCGACCCGAGACUCAGUGAAGUUGAAAUCGCUGUGAAGAUGCGGCGUUCCCGCGGCAAGACGGAAAGACCCCGUGAACCUUCACUACAGCUUUACACUGAACUUUGAACCUUUCUGUGUAGGAUAGGUGGGAGGCUAUGAAACUUGGGCGCUAGCUCGAGUGGAGCCAACCUUGAAAUACCACCCUGGGAUGUUUGAAGUUCUAACCUUGGUCCGUAAUCCGGAUUGGGGACAGUGUAUGGUGGGUAGUUUGACUGGGGCGGUCUCCUCCCAAAGAGUAACGGAGGAGUGCAAUGGUACGCUCAGCGCGGUCGGUCAUCGCGCUCUAGAGUGCAAAGGCAUAAGCGUGCUUAACUGUGAGACAGACACGUCGAACAGGUACGAAAGUAGGUCUUAGUGAUCCGGUGGUUCUGUAUGGAAGGGCCAUCGCUCAACGGAUAAAAGGUACUCCGGAUAACAGGCUUAUUCCUCCCAAGAGUCCACAUCGACGGAGGAGUUUGGCACCUCGAUGUCGGCUCAUCACAUCCUGGGGCUGUAGCAGGUCCCAAGAGUAUGGCUGUUCGCCAUUUAAAGUGGUACGCGAGCUGGGUUCAGAACGUCGUGAGACAGUUCGGUCCCUAUCUGCCGUGGGCGUUGGAAACUUGAGGGUGAGCUGUCCUUAGUACGAGAGGACCGGGAUGGACGUAUCUCUGGUGUUCCGGUUGUCACGCCAGUGGCACUGCCGGGUAGCUAUAUACGGACGGGAUAAGCGCUGAAAGCAUCUAAGCGCGAAGCCCCCCCCAAGAUUAGGUUUCCCUGGGAACUCGAUUCCCCUAAAGGGCCGUCGGAGACUACGACGUUGAUAGGCU
RNAcentral lists this ribosomal RNA (1355 nucleotides) under metagenome. Its description in RNAcentral is "bacterial LSU rRNA". It matches the Rfam family "Bacterial large subunit ribosomal RNA", at positions 1536 to 2862 of the family's 2925-position model. The record is from RNAcentral.